UGGGGAAUAUUGGGCAAUGGGCGAAAGCCUGACCCAGCAACGCCGCGUGAAGGAAGAAGGUUUUCGGAUUGUAAACUUCUGUCCUCAGGGAAGAAGGAAGUGACGGUACCUGAGGAGGAAGCCCCGGCUAACUACGUGCCAGCAGCCGCGGUAAUACGUAGGGGGCGAGCGUUGUCCGGAAUUACUGGGCGUAAAGCGCACGCAGGCGGAUGCGCGCGUCGGCUGUGAAAUGCACCGGCUCAACCGGUGCACUGCGGUCGAUACGGCGCAUCUGGAGUGCGGGAGAGGGAAGCGGAAUUCCCGGUGUAGCGGUGAAAUGCGUAGAUAUCGGGAGGAACGCCGGUGGCGAAGGCGGCUUCCUGGCCCGCAACUGACGCUCAUGUGCGAAAGCCAGGGGAGCGAACCGG
This 407-nucleotide ribosomal RNA is filed under the name uncultured prokaryote. Its description in RNAcentral is "bacterial SSU rRNA". It matches the Rfam family "Bacterial small subunit ribosomal RNA", at positions 355 to 776 of the family's 1533-position model. The record is from RNAcentral.